GGGGAAUAUUGCACAAUGGGGGAAACCCUGAUGCAGCAACGCCGCGUGAGCGAUGAAGGCCUUCGGGUUGUAAAGCUCUGUCUUCGCUGACGAUAAUGACGGUAAGCGAGGAGGAAGCCACGGCUAACUACGUGCCAGCAGCCGCGGUAAUACGUAGGUGGCAAGCGUUGUCCGGAAUUACUGGGCGUAAAGGAUGCGUAGGCGGCCUCUUAAGUGGGAUGUGAAAUCCCGGGGCUUAACCCCGGAGCUGCAUUCCAUACUGGGAGGCUAGAGUGCAGGAGAGGAAAGCGGAAUUCCCAGUGUAGCGGUGAAAUGCGUAGAGAUUGGGAGGAACACCAGUGGCGAAGGCGGCUUUCUGGACUGUAACUGACGCUGAGGCAUGAAAGUGUGGGGAGCAAAC
RNAcentral lists this ribosomal RNA (400 nucleotides) under uncultured bacterium. RNAcentral's name for it is "bacterial SSU rRNA". It matches the Rfam family "Bacterial small subunit ribosomal RNA", at positions 356 to 773 of the family's 1533-position model. The record is from RNAcentral.